UGUAAUUGAUCUGUCAAAUCGUCUAACUUCUCAAUGUUUACGUUCGACGCUAAAACAACGGUCCGCGAAACCGUGUUUACAACGUUUACCGCGACGACGAAACGAACCAAGAUUGUGUUCGAUACCGAAAUGUUUCCGCGAUUUACAGGUGCGCGAUCGAAUUUUAAUCAUUUGCCGGUCUGCUUCCAUCGAACUGUUCGGAGGAUCGGCCCGACGAAGAACUUUCAGCGCGAAUGUUCAAUUAGGAUGUUUCCAAGUGAGGUUUCAGCAACAUUCGUGCUUUGUUUUCGCCCGCGUCCGGACGGAUGAAUGAUUCUACUUUGAUCGUUCACCGAAUAUGCUGCCUGCGAUGGGAUGUAAAAACCGCCAACUCGUUCUUCGAGUUGGUCCCGAUCGAGGGUGGGGAGGAUACAGCAGAGCACAUCAACAACCUGCCGUUGAGGCUGGGAAGUGUCCGCUCAAAACAGCCCAAAUUAAUUAAUUAUCCUCGGGAAUUAGACCCGAGAAAGUGAAGUGUAUUACUCUCGCUGAUUUAUUCAGGAGAAAAGUGAAUAAAGAAUUCUGUUUGUGUGUUUACAUUUUUUUUGGAAAAGAGUUUCCAAACAGUAAAUGGGUGGUAGUGCCUCGGAUGUUUACAAUCAUUAUGCGUGAUAAUGAAUUGUGUUUUAAAUCAUUACUUCGGUUACUGAGGCGAGGGAUUGGAAAUUAUCGUUUCUAGCGAAUUCGCGUUGUUUCACGGACUUGUAUUCGAGUUUGUAUAUUUCGCGGAGGAAUUUUGGCUAGUGCGCGGUGCUUUUUCUGGUGGAAUUAUACGGAAUUCCGUACCAACGACCACGAUGGCCGCAUAUCUGGAUUUUAUUUCUCGGAAGUCGAUCGAUUCGACAUCUCUUCGGAUUUCACUUCGAUAGUGUUUCUCAACGAGUCUGAUACGGGUCAGCAAAACUUAUUGAUUAAUUGCAUGAAAUCAAUUAAAAUUUGAUAUUCUACGCGACGAUUGCAAUCAAUCGAAUUGAAUUAAAAAGAA
Molecule: long non-coding RNA, 1024 nt
Organism: Armigeres subalbatus
Lineage: Eukaryota; Metazoa; Arthropoda; Insecta; Diptera; Culicidae
Exons: 3
Source: RefSeq, a predicted model, not a curated record